GUGAGUGAGAGUAAAAUUGGAAGCAGUGCAGUGUGGAUCAGAUGAUGAAAUGUAAAUGCUGAAUACCUCCCACGGCACUUUCUCCUCAGAUUCCAGGGUUUCUGAAGAGUCCUUCCCUGUUGGAAGUAUCGCUGAAGGAAAAGACCAAAUCAAUGCAAGGCCGUUGGACUUCAGACUCUCCAUGAUCCACUGCAGGCCUUUGGCUGACUGGACAACCUGCGGGUAGGAUUCAAUGUAUCAACAUACAAUGGGACAUAAGGUGUGUUGCUCGCAUCAUUGUGCAAAGAAGGGGUAAGGACCUGCUCCUCCAGUCGGGCCAGACGCUUAAUCAAGAUGGCAGAGCUAAUCUCCUCUUCCCGCUCCAGCCUCUCGGUUAUGGCGUUGACCCUGGAGAACAUAAAUUGUCGAAAAUGUGACUCACCUUUAUGAAUUUUUAAAACAGUUGUUCUAAGCUCAUCUGCCUGACGGUUCUGAGGUUGUGGGUUCAAAUCUCGGCUCAGGAUUUUUAGUGUUGAGUUUGCCAGUUCUCCCCAUGGAGGGUUAGGUUUAGGCCCACUCAUAAUUCGUAAAUUGGGUUAAAAUUGGUUUAUUCUCAAUUAAAAUUAAAAAAAAGAAUGAAAACGUAAAAACUACACCAGGAAGAUAAAAUGGAUGCAUUGAUUUCAAGA
This is a long non-coding RNA of Hippocampus zosterae (dwarf seahorse), 668 nucleotides long. RefSeq lists it as uncharacterized. Lineage: Eukaryota; Metazoa; Chordata; Actinopteri; Syngnathiformes; Syngnathidae. The transcript has 3 exons. The record is from RefSeq and is a predicted model, not a curated record.